CAACUUUCAGCAAUGGAUCUCUUGGCUCUCGCAUCGAUGAAGAACGCAGCGAAUUGCGAUAUGUAAUGUGAAUUGCAGAUCUACAGUGAAUCAUCGAAUCUUUGAACGCACAUUGCGCUCCUCGGUGUUCCGAGGAGCAUGCCUGUUUGAGUGUCAGUU
Molecule: ribosomal RNA, 159 nt
Filed under: Gomphidius subroseus
Lineage: Eukaryota; Fungi; Basidiomycota; Agaricomycetes; Boletales; Gomphidiaceae
Description: 5.8S ribosomal RNA
Rfam family: 5.8S ribosomal RNA
About the family: 5.8S ribosomal RNA (5.8S rRNA) is a component of the large subunit of the eukaryotic ribosome. It is transcribed by RNA polymerase I as part of the 45S precursor that also contains 18S and 28S rRNA.
Source: RNAcentral